UCUGUUCUUUCUCCCAAAGGAAAAGAGAAGUGAUGAUAGCGUUAAAACGCAGGGAUACCAGUCCACGCGCGAUAGGAGCUUUUUCCGCCACUCCAGCAAAAAUCGCGAGCUAGAGGCGACGAAAAUUGCGUGGCUGAGCUCGUCCUCUUCACGAGUACGCUCGUACAGUCUGGGCUUGCCGAGCUUUUCAGAAAAGCGACUGCCAGAUUCGUCCUUCACAUCCAAGUGGGUUGAUCUCCACGACUCACUUACUAGCGCCUAGAUCGGAUGGUCCUCCUCGUUGUCCCGUUGACUUUGCUGGAAAAGGAUUGAAGAUUUCGUACAAGUGAAAUGUAACCCCUCAAAAAUUGGAUUUCAAAUGGUGAAGGGAUUUUUCGCCGGUUUCUUGGUCGAUUUUGCCCUUAUACUGGACCCUAAUUUCCCCUAUUUAAGAUCGCUUUCUGAAAUUUCAGAGGAGGAUUUUUUUUUAGUUUUUGGUGGCUUUGAAUCUUCUGGAAAUUCCUAGGCCUAAAAUAUUGGGAAGAAUACCAAAAAGAUAGAAGAAGAGGUUACUUAAACUAUUGUAAGGUAUUUCAAGGUUAAAGAGUGGAGUAAUCUUGUUAAGAAUAUUAGUUUUCUCUUCGUUUUGAACCAGUCCUUUCCCAAGUUCGUCGGCUGAUUUGUUUCGCCUUCAAAUCUCUCUUUGUUCGGUGAAAGUCACUACUCAUUCCGUCCCAGUAGCGCUGCUCGAAAGAAGGUUCGGGCCGUUGAGGCUUUCUAGGCCAUUUGUAAGAAGACUUGGAAUUUUCCCCGAGUUGUUAGUGAGUCCUCAAAGUUUGAGGAUGAUGCCAUUUAUUCUACCUUAGUAGUAUUGCUUAUAUCUAAAGAUAUUUAUUCGUUCUUUAUCAUUUUAGACUAUUUAUGUAAGCCUAUAUGUGGCAUAUUGUACUAGUGUAAGGGUUAAACCCAACUUUGUAAUUCUCUAUUAUAUGGUUUAAUGUGAGACUAUUAUUAGA
This is a long non-coding RNA of Solanum pennellii, 995 nucleotides long. RefSeq lists it as uncharacterized. The record is from RefSeq and is a predicted model, not a curated record. The transcript has 2 exons. Lineage: Eukaryota; Viridiplantae; Streptophyta; Magnoliopsida; Solanales; Solanaceae.